AAAACAAAAAUAAAAAACAAUUACGGAAAAAAAAAACCAAAAAUAGAAAAAACCAAAAAGAAAAAAGGAAAAA
Molecule: small RNA, 73 nt
Filed under: Arabidopsis thaliana (thale cress)
Lineage: Eukaryota; Viridiplantae; Streptophyta; Magnoliopsida; Brassicales; Brassicaceae
Description: ATSL084830
Source: RNAcentral